UCCUGGUUCGCUAGUUGGUAGAGUCUUUACUUGAAAUAGAAAGGUCCCUGGUUCGAUACCAGGACCAGGCG
RNAcentral lists this transfer RNA (71 nucleotides) under Ixodes scapularis (black-legged tick). RNAcentral describes it as "tRNA-Ser for anticodon UGA". The record is from RNAcentral. Lineage: Eukaryota; Metazoa; Arthropoda; Arachnida; Ixodida; Ixodidae.